Molecule: RNA transcript, 1401 nt
Organism: Daucus carota subsp. sativus
Lineage: Eukaryota; Viridiplantae; Streptophyta; Magnoliopsida; Apiales; Apiaceae
Exons: 3
Source: RefSeq, a predicted model, not a curated record
CAAGUUGCCAUUCAUAUCCAUCUGCAGUUAAAAACUUCAUUUUUACACACUUUUCUGCUUCCUUAUCCACCUACAUAUUCACCUACUAAUCAUACUCCUCUUCUCUCUCUGUAUAUCUAUAUCUACUUCCCUUGACAAUUAUAGAAACCCCACCUCACACAUCUCUCUCUCUCUCUCUCUCCCUCUCUCCCACAAGAAACACAAAUCUUGAAAAUACCAGUUUCCAAAUCUGGGAUUUGCAGAGUACGCAAACCCCGUUAAUAAUUCUGUCCCAGUCCUCAUUAUAUGGGAUCCCUUUCUUCAAAACAAACUAGUAUUUACAAUGUCUCAAACUAGCUUCUAUUCCCCCAAAUCACCUCCCACUACAAGUGUUGGUUGCUGCUCAUCACUCUCAGCCCAGCUGAAGCUUUACCAAGCUUUCAUCUUUUCUGUGCCAAUCUUCUUCACUUUCAUCCUUCUCUUCUUCUUCUACUUGUUUUAUCUCCGCCGCCGCAGAGCUGACUGGUCUUCGCUCAGGAUGAGGACUGCUAGGCUGGCCACCAUUCAAAAUAAUAUAUCUACUUGUGAAAUGGGAUUGAAGAAGGAAGUGAGGGAGAUGCUGCCCAUUAUUGUAUUUAAAGAAAGUUUUUCUGUCAAAGAUACACAAUGCUCAGUUUUGCCUUGGUGAUUACCAAGCUGAGGAUAAACUUCAGCAGAUACCUGUAUGUGGCCAUACAUUUCACAUGGAAUGCAUUGAUCUCUGGCUUGCCACCCACACCACCUGCCCUCUUUGCCGCCUGUCUUUAUUAGCUUCCAGGGCAUCAGAAAAACCAACAGAUAACCAAUCAAAUGAAACGGAUCAAAGUCCUGAAUCUCCUGAUGUGGAAAAUCACGAUGAAAACUCUCCUCCGAGCAGUUCUCAGCUUUCGGGAGAACCACAAGUCAAUGAACAGAUAUUUAAUAUAGUUCAGCAAACUAAUGAAAACUUCCAAAGUCCUGAAUCUGCUGAUGUAGAAAAUCAUGAUGAAGUGUCUCCUCAGUGCAGUUCACAGCCUUCUGAAGAUCCUCAACCCACGAACAAAUAUCAAACAUAGUUCGCCAGGAGGAAUCAGAUCUGGAACUAGCAGUUGAAUGCAAGAAGUAGCUUCUUGUCAAUGGUUCUAAUCUGGAACGGCCUACUUAUUGCUAGGCCUAAAAUGCGAAGGCAGAGCAAAGUCUAAUUGAUCUUUCAGUCUGAUGGAGCAAAUUCAGGUCCGGAAAGAGCAUGAAAUUAGCUUUGUGAAGCGGCUCUCUUCAUGCUGACAGUUGUGCAUGGCUUGUAAAAAGUGUGAGUGUAGAACUAUAAACCAUUAAGUUUUGUUUGAAAAGUACAACAUUGAUAAUAUUAAAUAAAUUUCAUGAAAUUUGAUGCCUUCCUAGUAA